Molecule: ribosomal RNA, 417 nt
Filed under: Triticum aestivum (bread wheat)
Lineage: Eukaryota; Viridiplantae; Streptophyta; Magnoliopsida; Poales; Poaceae
Description: partial small subunit ribosomal RNA
Source: RNAcentral
AUGGUUGUUAACCUAUCCGGCCGAUUUUAUUUGGAGAAAGGCAUUGAGGAACGCCUAGGGAAAGAAUUUCUUGACAGAAUAAAUAAGGAAGGUUACAUUGAUGUCACAAACAAGUCAGGAAAUGUUUUAUACAGGGUAACAAAAGAGAGCUUGAUGGAACGACUGAACACUGACAUGCGUGCAACAAGCCUCUCCAUUAGCAAGGAAUGCAGCUUCUUCAUAGUUCAUGGUUCUGCUGAUGAGAUCAUUCCCGUGGAAGAUGCAUAUGAGUUUGCAAAGCAUAUACCGACCCACAAACUGUGUGUCAUCGAGGGAGCAGAUCACUGCUACACCAGACAUCGUAAAGAACUUUCUGAUGCUGUAGUGGGUUUCAUUACAUCCAACAAGACCAGUGAUACCACGCUAGAAGAUCAAUGA